This 492-nucleotide ribosomal RNA is filed under the name uncultured bacterium. RNAcentral describes it as "partial 16S ribosomal RNA". It matches the Rfam family "Bacterial small subunit ribosomal RNA", at positions 29 to 507 of the family's 1533-position model. The record is from RNAcentral.
AGUGAACGCUGGCGGUAGGCCUAACACAUGCAAGUCGAACGGCAGCACAGUAAGCUCUUGCUCUUACGGGUGGCGAGUGGCGGACGGGUGACGAAUACAUCGGCAUCUACUUUUUCUUGGGUGAUAUCGUAGGGCCACUUACGCUACUACCUCAUACGUCCUACGGGUGAAAUCAGGGGUUCUUCGGACCUUGCGCGAUUCAAUGAGCCGAUGUCGGAUUAGCUAGUUGGCGUGGUAAAGGCCCACCAAGGCAACGAUGCGUAGCUGGUCUGAGAGGAUGAUCAGCCACACUGGAACUGAGACACGGUCCAGACUCCUACGGGAGGCAGCAGUGGGGAAUAUUCGACAAUGGGCGCAAGCCUGACCCAGCAACGCCGCGUGGGUGAAGAAGGUCUUCGGGUUGUAAAGCCCUGUUGUUGGGAAAGAAAAACAGCGGGUGAAAACCCGGAUGUUCUGACGGUACCAAAAGAGUAAGCAACGGCUAACUUCGUG